AGAGUUUGAUCCUGGCUCAGGAUGAACGCUGGCGGGGUGCCUAACACAUGCAAGUCGUGCGGCAGCAUGCUCAGCACUUAUUCUUUGACCGAGUCAGGUCGUUGAAAUUUAUUUAUAAAUUUUCAACAUCGUUAUCCGAAGGGCGAACGAUGUCGACCUGAAUCACAUAUGUCGAAGAAUGGGUGCUGAGUGAUGGCGAGCGGCGGACGGCUGAGUAACGCGUGGGAAUCUGCCCUAAAGUGAGGAAUAACCUCGAGAAAUCGAGGCUAAUGCCGCAUAUGGUCUUCGGAUUAGAGCCGCAAGGCGCUUUAGGAGGAGCCCGCGUUCGAUUAGCUUGUUGGUGAGGUAAUGGCUCACCAAGGCUACGAUCGAUAGCUGGUCUGAGAGGAUGAUCAGCCAGACUGGAACUGAGACACGGUCCAGACUCCUACGGGAGGCAGCAGUGAGGAAUAUUCCACAAUGGGCGAAAGCCUGAUGGAGCAACGCCGCGUGCAGGAUGAAGGCCUUCGGGUCGUAAACUGCUUUUCUCUGUGGCGAAUAUGACGGUAGCAGAAGAAUAAGGGUCGGCUAACUACGUGCCAGCAGCCGCGGUCAUACGUAGGACCCGAGCGUUAUCCGGAAUGACUGGGCGUAAAGAGUUGCGUAGGUGGCAUGGUAAGCGAAUAGUGAAAUCAAGUGGCUCAACCAUUUGGCUAUUAUUCGAACUGCCAAGCUUGAGAAUGAGAGAGGUAACUGGAAUUCCCGGUGUAGGAGUGAAAUCCGUAGAUAUCGGGAGGAACACCAAUGGCGUAGGCAGGUUACUGGCUCAUUUCUGACACUAAGGCACGAAAGCGUGGGGAGCGAACCGGAUUAGAUACCCGGGUAGUCCACGCCGUAAACGAUGGAUGCUAGCUGUUGGGGGUAUCGACCCUCCCAGUAGCGAAGCUAACGCGUUAAGCAUCCCGCCUGGGGAGUACGGUCGCAAGAUUAAAACUCAAAUGAAUUGACGG
RNAcentral lists this ribosomal RNA (989 nucleotides) under uncultured bacterium. Its description in RNAcentral is "bacterial SSU rRNA". It matches the Rfam family "Bacterial small subunit ribosomal RNA", at positions 8 to 916 of the family's 1533-position model. The record is from RNAcentral.